Molecule: ribosomal RNA, 403 nt
Filed under: uncultured prokaryote
Description: bacterial SSU rRNA
Rfam family: Bacterial small subunit ribosomal RNA
Source: RNAcentral
UAGGGAAUAUUGGUUAAUCUGCGAAAGCGGGAACCAGCAACGCCGCGUGCACGAUGACGGCCUUCGGGUUGUAAAGUGCUUUUUGAGAGGAUGAGGAAGGACAGUACUCUUAGAAUAAGCUUCGGCUAACUACGUGCCAGCAGCCGCGGUAAAACGUAGGAAGCGAGCGUUAUCCGGAUUUACUGGGCGUAAAGCGUGUGUAGGCGGUUUGAUAAGUUGGAUGUGAAAGCUCCUGGCUUAACUGGGAGAGGUCGUUCAAAACUAUCAGACUUGAGAGUGGUAGAGGGAGGUGGAAUUCCGGGUGUAGUGGUGAAAUGCGUAGAUAUCCGGAGGAACACCAGUGGCGAAAGCGGCCUCCUGGCCCAUUUCUGACGCUCAGACACGAAAGCUAAGGUAGCAAACG